UUAACUCUGGAACUGCCAUCAAAACUUUUCAGCUAGAGUAUGAUAGAGGAAAGCAGAAUUUCUAGUGUAGAGGUGAAAUUCGUAGAUAUUAGAAAGAAUACCAAUUGCGAAGGCAGCUUUCUGGAUCAUUACUGACACUGAGGAACGAAAGCAUGGGUAGCGAAGAGGAUUAGAUACCCUCGUAGUCCAUGCCGUAAACGAUGUGUGUUAGACGUUGGAAAUUUAUUUUCAGUGUCGCAGGGAAACCGAUAAACACACCGCCUGGGGAGUACGACCGCAAGGUUAAAACUCAAAUGAAUUGACGGGGACCCGCACAAGUAGUGGAGCAUGUGGUUUAAUUCGAAGAUACGCGCAGAACCUUACCAACACUUGACAUGUUCGUCGCGACUCUAAGAGAUUAGAGUUUUCGGUUCGGCUGGACGAAACACAGGUGCUGCAUGGCUGUCGUCAGCUCGUGUCGUGAGAUGUUGGGUUAAGUCCCGCAACGAGCGCAACCCUCACUUUUAGUUGCCAUCAUUAAGUUGGGCACUCUGAAAGAACUGCCAGUGAUAAGCUGGAGGAAGGUGGGGAUGACGUCAAGUCCUCAUGGCCCUUACGUGUUGGGCUACACACGUGCUACAAUGGCAUCUACAAUAGGAAGCAAAACGGCAACGUUAAGCAAAUCCCGAAAAGAUGCCUCAGUUCGGAUUGCACUCUGCAACUCGAGUGCAUGAAGCUGGAAUUACUAGUAAUCGUGGAUCAGCGUGCCACGGUGAAUGCGUUCCCGGGUCUUGUACACACCGCCCGUCACACCAUGGGAGUUGGUUCUACCUUAAGGCAAGGUUUUAAACCCUUGACCACGGUAUAGUCAGCGACUGGGGUGAAGUCGUAACAAGGUAACC
This 881-nucleotide ribosomal RNA is filed under the name uncultured bacterium. RNAcentral describes it as "bacterial SSU rRNA". It matches the Rfam family "Bacterial small subunit ribosomal RNA", at positions 609 to 1501 of the family's 1533-position model. The record is from RNAcentral.